CGGUCCUAAGGUAGCGAAAUUCCUUGUCGGGUAAGUUCCGACCUGCACGAAUGGCGUAACGAUCUCCACACUGUCUCGGCCAGAGACUCGGUGAAAUUGCAGUCGCGGUGAAAAUUCCGUGUACCCGCAGAAAGACGGAAAGACCCUGUGCACCUUUACUAUAGCUUGACAUUGGAUUUUGGGCCUGCAUGUGUAGGAUAGGUGGGAGGCUGUGAACCCUGUACGCCAGUAUGGGGGGAGCCAUCCUUGAAAUACCACCCUUGCAUGUUUAAGAUCCUAACUUCUUCCGGUUAUCCCGGAGAAAGACAGUGUCUGGCGGGUAGUUUGACUGGGGCGGUCGCCUCCUAAAGUGUAACGGAGGCAUGCAAAGGUUCCCUCAGCCUGAUCGGAAACCAGGCGCUGAGUGCAAACGCAUAAGGGAGCUUGACUGUAAGAGAGACAUCUCGAACAGGAACGAAAGUUGGCGUUAGUGAUCCGGUGGUCCCGAAUGGAAGGGCCAUCGCUCAUUGGAUAAAAGGUACGCCGGGGAUAACAGGCUGAUCGCAUCCAAGAGUUCACAUCGACGAUGCGGUUUGGCACCUCGAUGUCGGCUCAUCACAUCCUGGGGCUGAAGCAGGUCCCAAGGGUACGGCUGUUCGCCGUUUAAAGUGGUACGCGAGCUGGGUUUAAAACGUCGUGAGACAGUUUGGUCCCUAUCUUCUGUGGGCGAAGGAGAAUUGAGAGGGCCUGUCCCUAGUACGAGAGGACCGGGAUGGACGCACCCCUGGUGAUCCUGUUGUCGCGCCAGCGGCAUAGCAGGGUAGCUAUGUGCGGAAGGGAUAACCGCUGAAAGCAUCUAAGCGGGAAGCCUGCCUCAAGAUAAGUUCUCCCCUCGAAAGAGCUGAAGGGCCCGGGUAGACUACCCGGUCGAUAGGCUGGAGGUGUAAGCGCGGCGACGUGCUCAGCUGACCAGUACCAAUAGCCCGAGCGGCUUAUUUUU
This 979-nucleotide ribosomal RNA is filed under the name human gut metagenome. RNAcentral's name for it is "bacterial LSU rRNA". It matches the Rfam family "Bacterial large subunit ribosomal RNA", at positions 1946 to 2925 of the family's 2925-position model. The record is from RNAcentral.